GAUGAACGCUGGCGGCGAGCUUAACACAUGCAAGUCGAACGAAGCAUUUAGAACAGAUUACUUCGGUUUGAAGUUCUUUAUGACUGAGUGGCGGACGGGUGAGUAACGCGUGGGUAACCUGCCUUGUACUGGGGGAUAGCAGCUGGAAACGGCUGGUAAUACCGCAUAAGCGCACAAUGUUGCAUGACAUGGUGUGAAAAACUCCGGUGGUAUAAGAUGGACCCGCGUCUGAUUAGCUAGUUGGUGAGAUAACAGCCCACCAAGGCGACGAUCAGUAGCCGACCUGAGAGGGUGACCGGCCACAUUGGGACUGAGACACGGCCCAGACUCCUACGGGAGGCAGCAGUGGGGAAUAUUGCACAAUGGAGGAAACUCUGAUGCAGCGACGCCGCGUGAGUGAAGAAGUAAUUCGUUAUGUAAAGCUCUAUCAGCAGGGAAGAUAGUGACGGUACCUGACGAAGAAGCUCCGGCUAAAUACGUG
Molecule: ribosomal RNA, 481 nt
Filed under: uncultured bacterium
Lineage: Bacteria
Description: partial 16S ribosomal RNA
Rfam family: Bacterial small subunit ribosomal RNA
Source: RNAcentral